Molecule: unclassified non-coding RNA, 208 nt
Filed under: uncultured Chloroflexota bacterium
Lineage: Bacteria; Bacillati; Chloroflexota
Description: uncultured Chloroflexi bacterium contains 16S-23S intergenic spacer region
Source: RNAcentral
UCCGGGUUGGACCCGGCGGUCCCGCCAGACAUGGUAACUGGCAGCGAGGGUUGCGCUCGUUGCGGGACUUAACCCAACACCUCACGGCACGAGCUGACGACAGCCAUGCAGCAUCUGCGCACGCUCCCUUGCGGGUCCUUCCCCUUUCGAGGUCGUACCACGUGCAUGUCAAGCCCAGGUAAGGUGGGGAUGACGUAGCUAAGCCUUC